GGGGAAUCUUGCACAAUGGGCGAAAGCCUGAUGCAGCCAUGCCGCGUGAAUGAUGAAGGCCUUAGGGUUGUAAAAUUCUUUCGCUAGGGACGAUAAUGACGGUACCUAGUAAAGAAGCCCCGGCUAACUUCGUGCCAGCAGCCGCGGUAAUACGAAGGGGGCUAGCGUUGUUCGGAAUUACUGGGCGUAAAGCGCGCGUAGGCGGAUUAACAAGUUGGAUGUGAAAUCCCAGAGCUCAACUCUGGAACUGCAUUCAAAACUGUUAGUCUAGAGGCCAGGAGAGGUCAGUGGAAUACCGAGUGUAGAGGUGAAAUUCGUAGAUAUUCGGUGGAACACCAGUGGCGAAGGCGACUGACUGGACUGGUACUGACGCUGAGGUGCGAAAGUGUGGGGAGCAAACAGG
Molecule: ribosomal RNA, 403 nt
Filed under: uncultured bacterium
Lineage: Bacteria
Description: bacterial SSU rRNA
Rfam family: Bacterial small subunit ribosomal RNA
Source: RNAcentral